Megalobrama amblycephala (Wuchang bream) is the source of this 1982-nucleotide long non-coding RNA. RefSeq lists it as uncharacterized. Lineage: Eukaryota; Metazoa; Chordata; Actinopteri; Cypriniformes; Xenocyprididae. The transcript is spliced from 4 exons. The record is from RefSeq and is a predicted model, not a curated record.
UUCUUUUUAACUGAAGAAAGAAAGACAUGAACAUCUUUGAUGACAUGAGGGCUGCGUGUGGCUCAAGGACAGAAGCGCAGGAGAGCGUCUCAAUGAAGGGAUUUACUGCAGCACUGAGUCAUAAACCUCACCACACCGACAGAUGCUGCUCUGUUCCUCCUCCAGCUCAUUUCAACAUCCAAUAAAUCACUCACAAACUGGAGAAACUAUGUGGAUCAGGACGGAACUGCAAUAGAAAAACCACAUGAGGACUUUUAUUUUGAAGUCUUGUUCCUCGUGUUCCAUGUUUGUAGUCCUUUUUUGUGUUGAUUCAUCCAGAUUGUUCCCAGCAACAUCUCUUCUCUGAUGACGAGGGCGGGGCAACCUGUCACUCACAUGACAUCCACCAAUAGCAAACCACAACCAUCCAAUCAAUUCCCCACAGACAAGAACAAGUUCCGCCCUACAUUUGUUCUCAUUCCAGAAGCCAUUUCACUUGGAUUUACGUCACAAUAAUGAAGAAAAGAUGAGCACAACUUCCCUUUCAUGACGACUUUAACAUGUGAACUGAUCUUUACACACUCUAAACUCUCCAGCUGUUAGUUCAAUGUUCAUUUUCUCCUAAAGGGAUGAUGCAUUGUGAUGAAAACUGGGACCAAUCUUCUUUUGUUCUCAUGUUUCCUGAAUGAUGUACAGUAGCUUAGUUUUUUCUUUUUUACCUUCAAAUGCCAAAAUAUAUUGCCAAAUGUACUUGAAGGGGCUCUUUAUGUUGCUCUCAUCUGAGCUUAGAUCAUUCUCCGUCUUCUGUUCAGCAACACAAAACAUACAUAUGCAACAGAGGAAAUAAAACACACUCCUCUGCAUUCAUGCCAUGUAUUUCACAGCGCUGUCAGGAACGAGACUAUUUUUAGCAUCCCUAAUGUGAAUCGCUUGAACCUGUUGAGGUGAUUCUUCAGGAGAGAUGAGACAGGUGUGAGAACAGGUGAGAAAUCCCAGACUAACACACCUGCACACAUACUGUACGAUUCAAUGUCUUUAUGUGAGAAAUGAAGAUUUCUGGAUGGUUUAUGCUUCUCAUGAUCCUAUAGAAAGUGUGAAAUUCUGUACAAAACUGACAUUUUGUUUAAGUUUCAAUUAACUCAUUAUUUGCAGAGUGUAAUGUGCAGAAGAUAUGACCAAAGCCUUAUUGUUGUGUUAUUAUUUCAGAGUUUGCACGACUGCACUAUUAUUCUAUUAUGUGGAAAGAGUUGUUUAAGAAUUGUGCAGUUUAAUCAUUGAUUGAUAUGUUUGUUUGUUCAUUCAUUUGUUGGCUGUUAUGUAGGGAGAGGCUAGAAAACACAAAAUGGAACAUGUAAAACAAAAUAAAUUAUUGUGAUUCACCAAACAAAUGUUAUUUAAAUGUUAAAUGCUUAAAAAUAUGCUGAGAUCACACUUAUUUAAAGGUUACACUUGUACUUAAUAGUAAUAACUGUAUAAUUACAAGCAACUGCACUAAAAUGUUUUACAAAAAAAAAAUCUUUUAGUCUGUCUACCUCAAAAUCCCAUGUUUAAUUCAAUGUGUUGCUGAUUCUUUGUCAUUUUUGUGAGAUUUACUAGCAAUUUAUGAGUGAAAAUUGUUUCUACAUCAUAUUUUUUAUCAUCUUUAAACCAAACAUGAAGUGAUUGAACCUGCUGUUAAACAUGAACAGGUUUUACUGUUGAAGUUUUACAGUCUUUUUCAUGCGCAAUCAUUUUUUAAACAAUGUCAAGCGUAACUGCAGAUCAUCCUUUCAUCCUGAAACACUGCAUCAAGAUCUGUCUGCACAUGGACUCUUCUUCAAUUUUUGAGAAUGACUUAUAAGAACAUGGUUUCAUCUUCAUCGUAUCCAUCCAUGACCCGAAGGACGAUGAUAAAUCAGCAUGAACGUGUGUGUCAUGGUCAGAUCAGAUGAAUGACUGACCACUGAUGAUCUGUAACAGCUCAGCAUAAACUGAGAGAGAGAAAUGAUCUUUUGAAAGUUGUA